GGGGAGGUUGAACUUGAGAUAGAGUUCCUGAAAAAGCACAUCCCUUUGGCAAGAGCUGCUCGUAACCGAUAAACACUGGAACAGGAAACGAUGAAAACAUUUAAAUAAGCCAGCAGGAAACAAUAUUUCUGUGUGUGUCAGAGAAGCAGGGAGAGACACCAGGAUGGCAACUGAAGGGGCCACAGAGAAGAGAGCCAACUUGGUGGCAUCUAAAGUCAUGUGGAGUAACAGGGAUGACGUACCUAUGUCAGCACCAGAACGGUCACAUGGCAGUGACAGAGCUGGAAUCUGUAGACAGAACAACGUCCAACAGUGGCUUAGAAGUCAUGAGGCGGAUGCAAAACCAGACCACACCAGAGAAGCUGCAGCAGGGCUUCUUAAGAGGAACGCCAGCAGUGAGGAUGACUUAGCGUUGGGCGUCGAAGCGUCUUUAUAUGGUAAACAGGGAGUGAGGACCGUCCAGGAAUUUCUGAGGAGUUCCAGGUCCAGCCCAGUUCUCACCAGGUGGAACAGCUUGACCUCAGCCUUCUCAGCACAGUCAGCUCCACUCAGUGUAAUGGAUGUGCUGAAUCUGUGGAGUGACGACCCAGAGGAGGUCCUACUAGAUCUGGGCUUCGGCUGUGACGAGCCUGACAUCUCUGGACGGAUCCCUGCCCGCUUCAUCAACAACCAGUCCAGCGCCCGGGGAAUCAACAUCCAGGUGUUCCUGGACGCCCAGAAGAACCGCAUGGACAUAGAGAACCCUGAUGUCAGCAAUAGGUUCAGGCAGUUGGAGGUGCUGCAGCAGGUUACCACUGCAUUCUCAUCCCUGGUCGGUGGUGCGUCUACAGACUCCGUCUCCGAGAGCGGAGUUCCAGCUUUAGCUUCAGCCGGGGCCAGGGAGAAGAGGAAGAGAAUGGGCAUGCUGCUCCGCCGGGUCUCCAGAAAAACCCUCAGCCAAACCCAGUUUCAGACACAAAACCAGACCCAGGACUCCCAGGACACAAACCCCACUCCCCACAGUCCUGUAACCCACUUACCGCAGCCCCUGGCUGGCCUCCCUGACAGGCGGACCCCGCUGAAACGAGCCAGACAGGGCCUGGCUGAGAGUAUAUGUCUGACCCCGCUGGCAGAGGAGCAAGGCCUAGCCUCGGAAGCACCAGAGCCCCACUCGGUCCACCAGGAGGGUGCACUCUGGCUGGAGGUGGGGAAGGAGUAUCAACCCCUGAUCUCCAGUGGUAUUCCAACCAGAAAGAAAAGUCCUGGGGAGGCCAGGGAGUCCUUUGAGAUGGAGGAGAUCCAGAGCUUUGAUGAGGGCAGUAUUUCUGGGAGCUACAUGGGAGCAUCCGACACCACAGGCUACGCUGCUGCCCAUAUGACUUGAAGAUUGCUGUACACCAGCGGAACCCAUCCAACUUGAAGUAGAUGGAGCAGUUUUGCCUUGAAGAAUUGGAAAAAAGCUCAGCGGCUAGAUGUGCCAAGCUUAUAGAGACAUAACCCAAGAGACUUGCAGCUGUAAUUGCUGCAAAAGGUGGCUCUACAAAGUAUGGACUUUGCAGGAUGGUCCUCCCCUUCAUCCUCUGAGGAGCCUCCACUGCUAACAGAAUAAGCAAAUUGUGUCCUAACUUUUAGUUGAUUCACCAGGCAAAGCAGUGUGUGUGAUGAGGACUAACAGCUGCCAGUCUGACAGCAGUGGCUUCCUGGAAGAGCCCUUCAUCCCUUCCAUUACCCAGCAUCCCUCACCUGGACCCGAGCUCAUGAAGGCUUUGUCGGGAAUAUUUGGAGGCAGCACUGACAGCCAGAUCACUGUAAAAGGAGCUUCACCCCCCUCGUCCCCCCCAUCCACUUCCCUGGACCCUUCCCCUCCUUCCCUCUCCAUGUGCCACCCAAGACCCGAGUCUCCUCUAUACAGACCAGAGACAACAAGCCCUACAGAGGAGACACCCAGACACCAGGAUUCCCCCACACCCCACUCCCUCUCUGAUGCCUUGGAGAUGACUAACUCUGCUUUUGGAGCCAGGCCAAGCCUAAUGGAAAACACUGUCACUGAGGAAGAUGGAUUCUCUUCGGCCUGCGGUUCACCUUGUCAUAAGCCAGACUCUCCGUUACGGCACGUUAUUAUUAUCAUGAAAACAGAUAGAGAAACAGAACACUUUACUGUGGAAUCAGAGGAAGCUGUUCCAAUAGGAGGAGAGGAAAAGGACAUAGCGGAACAAAGUGGCAAUGUUCAGACAGGAACAGAGGCUGUUGGUGAUCAGGACACCGAUUGUUAUGGGUCACAUGAAGGCUCUCGGAUGAACUCGGUAGCUCUGGUGCAGAUGAAGAAAGAGACAGAGAUGAAGACGAAAGUACAGAUUAGUUCUGGUUUGGAAGGUCCAGUGUUGGGUCCUGUUGCUGUUCCUGAGGUGGUGAAUCAAGGCUCUGAGACUGGAUCUGUUUGUCAGGACCGGUACUCUGAAGAUCCUCUAUUAGGAUCUGACCCUAACUUCUCAGCAGAGCCUCUCCCUGCCUCCUCUCUCCCCCCAGCAGAGCCUCUCCCUGCCUCCUCUCUCCCCCCAGCAGAGCCUCUCUCUGCCUCCCUCCCCCCAGUGCACUGGGAAACAGGUGGCUCAAAGAUUUCAGAGGGAUCCUCAAGCUUGGUUGUCCAAGAGCCUGUCCCACCACUAUAUCAACCAGCAGACCCAUCGACAGACCCACCUCCAGGCCCAGCUUUAACCUCACCUUCAGAGCAAGUGUCACCUCCAUCCCCACCACCAUCUCCAUCCCCAGCCUCGUGGCCACACCAACCUCCAGCCUCAGCUUUUCCGGCAGCAUCCAGCUCAUCUCCAACCCAAGCCCAUUCCCCAAUCCCAAACCAUUCUCUAUCAGCCCUAACCACAACACCAACCCCAUCCUCAAUUCCAAACUCGCCAUCAGCCCAUUCCUUAACCGUAGCUCCAUCUCAAGCCCCAACUCCACUCGUCCCCCACAGUGGUGCUUUCAGGUCAGGCCGGUCUGUGUCUGUCCAGAUGCCCUCCUCCCUGCCCUCUGUCUCCCACUCUGCCCUCCGGAGAGGUGGCGUCCCCCACACCCCCUCCCCGCUCGGCCCUUCCUUCGAGCCCCGCCCCCUGACUGACCUGACGCUCCGGCAGAGGCGGAACUCCUUCUCCAGGAAGGCGUGGUCAGAUGCUGAUGUCUCCCACUUUGCAGAACACAGAAACACUGCGGUUGCCAUGGGAAAGGCAGUCAUGACACCUGAGAUGAUAUCCCUCCUGUCCCCCGUCCCCUCCCUGUCAUCGUCCAAUCGGUGGCUGUCUCGCGACGGUUCACGAAGAUCCGGAAGUUUCCAGAUGAAGUCCACCUCCUUGGACACGGGGCUGUGGCAGGAGGAAGAGGGGGAUGAAGUGGGGGAUGAGGAUAGACGGUGGGAACGAGCCCUGUUCUCUGGGCUUUCCUGCUGCUGCUCCUGUGAUAACCGCUGUAGCUGCUGUUCUCAGAACAAUCACCUCAAACCAUCCUCCGUUUCAGCUUUCCCUGUAAGUAACACACACAAUUCAGUUACUCUCUCUUUGGCAAACCUUCAAUUGAUUCACACAGGAUAAUAUACGAACAAAUACAAGACUAAAUAACUAAAAUAAUGCAGCCUCACCCAUGAAAAUGUCUGCAACAAAAGUGCCCUUUCUAUGGCUACGUCUGAUCAUUAAAAGAGUUAUUCAAUUCCUUAUCUGUAUAUUUAUAGAAUAUUUGAGGAGGCAUUGAGGCACAUCACAUGUGUUUUUCCUGUUGACAUGAUGAACAAAUCCUCUUUGCAUGUUAGAAUCUUUAUUGGCCCUUCUAAAGAUGGUGGUUUGGUUUCAUACGCAGCAGUGGGCAUUUGCAUGUGAAUGCCUGUUUUGCAUGAUGAGCAGCAGUAGAGGAGGAAGUUCACCACUCUCUCUCUGGCUCUUUAGUGGCCUCAAGCACAGCUCACUUCUAAAAAAAUAAAAUUAUAUGAAAGGUCCUAUUCACCAAGAAGGGUCAAUAGGAUUGGGGUUGCUACUUGAGUCUUUAGUAGACCCUUUUUUGUCUCUCACGUAAUGCCUGUUUUAUGGAGGUGACCACCAUUGUGCUCUGAUGGAAAUUAUGUGUUGAGUAGGCUACUGUAAUUUAUCUUUGUGAACAGCUGAAUUUGAUACUUCUGAGAACAGAACAUCUACACUAUGGCGUUCAUCUGAGUUCAACAUCUAUGGCCUUCAUAUUUGUAUUGAGUCCAUUUGGUUGUUCUAAUUGGUUUAAUUAUCAACCUCUUCGAGCUAACCACUGCAAUUUCGUUGAUAGGCAAAAACAGACCUUUCCUCCCUUAUGCGCUGAUUCACUGUACAGUAUUCCUGACUUUGUGUUGUCUCUAUCCUCUCUCAUGAUAUUAUUCUGUGCAGUAUUCCCUGGAUGAGCUGGAGGGGAUGAUGCACUGUAUGAGGAAGUUCCGCUGCGUCCUGACAGACAUCGAGGAACAGCUGUCAGAAGACCAGGCCUCGGUGUACAGCUCACUCUCUGACACUGACAGAGAUGAAGUGCGAGACAUCUUGGAGCUGAGGAAAGCUGUGAAACAGGAAGCAGGAGAGUUGGAACUGCAGCUCACUGACCUGGUUCAUCGCUAUGACGACAGCUUCAAAAUGAAGAUGCACAGACUACUCGAUGAACAAUCUCACCUCUACACCCAGCUAAGGCUCCUCCCCCUGAUCCCCAAGACCACCCCUGGCUCCGCCUCCUCUAGGAGCAUGGCCACUCAGUGCUGCCUGCUGCCCUGGCUGCCUUUGACGGACAUGUCCAGGCCACACCCCUCACCGCAGGCCACCUGGGAUUUGGAGUCCAGAUCAGCUCUGCCAGAUUCCAGUUCUAUGGGCCAGAGACUAAACCAUGGUUCUACCGGCACCAAGCCAGACAAACUGGACAUUGUGGGUUUCAUCCAGAGACUGAAGGAGUCCAUACGCCACUCUGUCAAUACUGACUCACUGGAGUAAAAGAGAGAUGCUGCUUCUGCUGUAGCUAACUGAAAAUGAUCUGCUGUCUAAGUUAUAGUGUGUCCAAUCAACCUGGACUCGGGUAGAUGUAACAUAAUAAACGUAAAUCUGUCUCCCUCCAGUUAGUAUGAUAUGUUAGGUGUGGUAAGGUAUGUAUUUCUUUGUGGAUGUCCAUCAUCCAUUUCUUAUGUUAUAAAUAACAAUUCAUAUGAUAUGUUACGAAUUGCAAUUUGUACAAUAUGUUACGAAUUUGCGAUUAAGUAUGAUAUGUCACAAAUUCCAGUUUGAUGUGGCUAACCCUAACAUUAAAGUAGCUAACGUUAACUAGGCUAAGGGUUAGCUAACAUGCUAAGUAGGUGCAAAAAGUAGUACGUUUCAAAAUAGCUAAUUAGCCUAAAUGCUCAAGUUGUCCGUGAUGAGAUCGGAAGACGCAACCUUAGAGGUGCUAGAAGUUUGCAUUAUAUGCCCACCUAUCCACCCCGACCCACCACCCUCCUUUUGUUUUUGCCUUAUGUAACCUUACCAAACAUACCAUAUCAUAUUCAUUUGAGUGUCCUGGAUUUACGUUGACUAUGUCUAGUCUAUGAAACCAGGCUGGUGUAAUCAAUGGAUUCUAUUACUACUAAAGUAGUCCAGUGUCCACAUAAUGAAUAAAGAGCACGAAUGCAUGAAAUCAUGUGUGCUUGUUCUAUAACGUGCCGAUCCAAUGCAUAACAUACUGUCCAAAGAGUUUAUUUGUGUGUAUUGUCAUUCCCUACGUAUCAACAACAGCAUUCGUCUCAACUAAGGAUGUGUUCUUAUUGUAACAUGAAGUCUCCUACUGUUACCUACCUGCAUCAAUGCUCUGGGUAAGACAGUUCCCCAUCCACAUGAGAUCCAUGCAGUAUGUGUAUGCUAUAGAGAGGAGCUCCUAUGUGUCACCCUCCUGUUCUGGGUUAUGUCCUUAUUAGCACAAGAGGUGGUCUUGCUCACGUCUCCUGCCUCUUCAGACCCCAAUUAGCAGCUGGGUAGUAACAUUCCAGCCUGUGAGCCUGAUGCAUUUCAUGACUCCCUCUACUGGUGCUCCCAACUAAAAUGUAAGAGCACCACAUGCCAUUUAGGAACACCAGAAAAUAAGAUUUAAAAAAAAUGUUUUAUUGCAAUACAGCCUACGGUAUAUAGAGCCCCACAGUGGAAGUGUCAUAAUACCCAUAAACCUAACGGUCAAACAGGGAGUCACCUUGUCCUUGACAGAUUUAGAUUGUUAUCAAAACGCCACGCCAGGGUAAGCCUACACAACACAGCUCUUAUUUUAAGUGUUUGUAAAAUCCCCUAUGGGAAAAAUGAAUGAAUGGUGGAAAAACAAUUGCAACCAUUUCCUUGUUUGACUGCUAGGUUUUAUGGGUAUUAUGACUCAUACUGUGGUACUCUAUUGGGCCUAAAUGAAUUCUAGUUACUUUAGAAGCAAAUGUUGUGCCCUAGAAAGUAAUAUGUUUAUUAUAAAAUGUUCAAGUCAUUUGUGGAAUAUUAAGUUUCUACGUUGUGUAAAAGCACUAUUUUCCUACUGAGAUGCAUUACAUAGAUAAUUGCACACUUUCCCUUCAAAAAGGUCAGGUUUGUGAUGGCAAAGUUCAAGAGAUCUGUCGUUCAACAUUGUGCUUUCAAGACAACCGGGGAAAAAAACUCAGUCUAAUCAUGACGUCAGUAAUCUUCAAGUCGGAGCUCUGGAAAGUAAGUAUGGUAGCUGCAGCCCAAUAGAACCCCACAGUGGAGUUGUCAUAAUACACAUAAAACAUAGUGGUCAAACAGGUAAAUGGUUUCAAUCAUUUUUCCACCAUUCAUUUUUCCCAUAGGGAAUUUUAGAAACACUUUUGUGUAUGCUUACCAUAGCAUGACAUUUGAUAACCAUGUAAAUCUCUCCCAGACAAAGUGACUAAUCAAUAUAUUCGGCCCUAUUUACUCUCAGAUUUGAAAAUACUAAUUAGCAUCAAAGUAGACAUCAUGCAAGACUACAAAUCCCUGCAAGCUCCUGCAUGUCAUCUCUCUGACACAUUUGCUAACAGAUAGUGUCAAUUCAAAACUUGCACAAGACAGUUCACAAAAUUUAAUUUAAAGACGUAUAGCCAAUUUAUUAAUUACUACAUUUAGCUAACAUUAGAUAGUUAAUCCAGAGAUUCUUACCUUUGCCUCGAUUUGGCAGUCUUGUGUUAUGCUGACUGCAGAAAUGUCCACCGGAGCUGUUGCCAGAGAAUUUAAUGUUAAUUUCUCUACCAUAAGCCGCCUCUCCAAUGUCAUUUUAGAGAAUUUGGCAGUAUGUCCAACGGGCCUCACAACCACAGUCCACAUGUACCCACGCCAGCCCAGGACUUCCACAUCUGGCUUCUUCAACUGCGGGAUCGUCUGAGACCAGCCACCCAGACAACUGAUGAAAUGGUGGGUUUGCUCAACCAAAGAAUUUCUGCACAAACUGUCAGAAACCAUCUCAGGGAAGCUCAUCUGCGUUCUCGUCGUCUUGACCUGACUGCAGUUUGGCGUCAUAACCAACUCGGUGUUGUGUGGCUCAGUUGGCAGAGCAUGGUGUUUGCAAUGCCAGGGUUGUGGGUUUGAUUCCCACGGGGGACCGGUAUGGAGAAAAAAAUGUAUGAAAUGUAUGCAUUCACUACUGUAAGUCGCUCUGGCUAAGAGCGUCUGCUAAAUUACUAAAAUGUAAACUUCAGUGGGCAAGUGCUUACUUUCGAUGGCCACUGGCACACUGGAGAAGUGUGACCUUCAUGGAUGAAUGCCGGCGUCAACUGUACCAGGCAGAUAGCGUGUAUGGUGUCAUGUGGGGGAGCAGUUCGCUGAAGUCAAUGCUGUGAACAGAGUGCCCCAUGGUGGCGGUGUGGUUAUAGUAUGGGCAGGCAUAGGGUACGGACAAUGAACGCAAUUGCAUUUUAUCGAUGGCAAUUUGAAUGCCAUUGUGGUGAAGGUAGGAAACAUCUCCACUUCUCUGACCCUCAACACUGGGGCCCCACAAGGGUGCAUGCUCAGCCCCCUCCUGUACUCCCUGUUCACCCAUGACUGCGUGGCCAUGCACGCCUCCAACUCAAUCAUCAAGUUUGAAGAACAACAGCGACGAAACAGACAACAGGGAGGAGGUGAGGGCACUCAGUGUGGUGUCAGGAAAACAACUUCUCGCUCAACGUCAACAAAACAAAGGAGAUGAUCGUGGACUUCAGGAAACAGCAGAGGGAGCAUCCCCUAUCCACAUCGAAGGGACAGCAGUGGAGAAGGUGGGAAGUUAAGUUCUUUGGUGUCCACAUCACAGACAAACUGAAAUGGUCCACUCACACACAGUGUUGUGAAGAAACCUCAGGAGGCUGAAGAAAUUGGGCUUGUCACCCAAAACCAUGACAAACUUUUACAGAUGCACAAUCGAGAGCAUCCUGUCGGGCUGUAUCACAGCCUGGUACGGCAACUGCACUUCCUUCAACCGCAAGGCUUUCGAGAGGGUGGUGCGGUCUGCACAACGCAUCACCAGGGGCAAAAUUCCUGCCCUCCAUGACAGCUACAGCACCCGAUGUCACAGGAAGGCCAAAAAGAUCAUCAUGGACAUCAACCACCCGAGCCACUACCUGUUCACACAGCUACCAUCCAGAAGGCGAGGUCAGUACAGGUGCAUGAAAGCUGGGACCGAGAGACUGAAAAACAGCUUCUAUCUGAAGGCCAUCAGACUGCUAAACAGCAAUCACUAACUCCGAGUCUGCUGUCUACAUUAAACCCAAUCACUGGCCACUUUAAUAAAUGGAUCACUAGUCACUUUAUUCAAUGUACUCUAAAUAAUGGCACUUUAAUAAUGUUCACAUAUCUUACAUUACUCAUAUCACAUGUACAUACUGUAUUUUAUACCAUCUAUUGCACAAUGCCUAUGCCGCUCAGCCAUCGCUCAUCCAUAUACUUAUAUGUACAUAUUUUCAUUCACCCCUUUAGAUUUGUGUAUAUUAGGUAGUUGUUGGGGAAUUCUUAGAUUACUUGUUAGAUAUUACUGCACUGUUGGAACUAGAAGCACAAGCAUUUCGCUACACUCACAUUAACAUCUGCUAACCAUGUGUAUGUGACAAAUAAAAUUUGAUUUGUACACACUUCCUGGAAGCUGAAAUACGACUCAAACUCACCCUCUGGCUUAAAAACAGAAGUCUAAACUCUAGUGGUACUGUACCUCAAUGUAUAUUAGUUGAGUGGUAAGAAACGGAAGGAGAAAAAAACAAGGUGUUUUCGACAAACCCACUCCUUUCCACACUUGCACUUCUUUCCUUUCGAUGCACCCACACUCCGGUAACCAUAUUGGUAUGUAUGGUGUUAAUUCAGAUUCAAAAGUUGAACAGCUGCAAUAUGGCGCCCGUGCCUAAAAUUAAACAUAAUUGCGGGAGCAAACAAUUGAGAGAAGAACUGUGGUCGAGUGAGCAGAGGAC
Molecule: long non-coding RNA, 9388 nt
Filed under: Salmo salar (Atlantic salmon)
Lineage: Eukaryota; Metazoa; Chordata; Actinopteri; Salmoniformes; Salmonidae
Description: lncRNA (ENSSSAG00000108864.1)
Rfam family: UnaL2 LINE 3' element (bases 7589-7642)
Source: RNAcentral